GGAAGGGUGCGAGAGCGGCCGAAUCGGCACGCUUGGAAAGCGUGUGAAGUGAAAGCUUCCGUGGGUUCGAAUCCCACCCCUUCCGCCA
Molecule: transfer RNA, 88 nt
Filed under: bacterium
Lineage: Bacteria
Also listed under: 4 other names
Description: tRNA-Ser
Rfam family: tRNA
About the family: Transfer RNA (tRNA) molecules are approximately 80 nucleotides in length. Their secondary structure includes four short double-helical elements and three loops (D, anti-codon, and T loops).
Source: RNAcentral